Molecule: non-coding RNA, 112 nt
Organism: Acanthosepion pharaonis
Lineage: Eukaryota; Metazoa; Mollusca; Cephalopoda; Sepiida; Sepiidae
Source: the annotation of a GenBank genome assembly
UUACGACCAUAUCGAGUUUAAACAUCGGUUCUUAUAUGAUCCAAAAUUAAGCAGCGUUGAGCCUGGUCAAUACCUAGAUGGGUGACCUCUUGGGAAUACCAGGUAUUGUAAG